UACGGGGGGGGCAAGCGUUGUUCGGAAUUAUUGGGCGUAAAGGGUUCGUAGGUGGCCGGCUAAGUCAGACGUGAAAUCCCUCAGCUUAACUGGGGAACUGCGUCUGAUACUGAUGAGCUUGAGUGCAGGAGAGGAACGCGGAAUUCCAGGUGUAGCGGUGAAAUGCGUAGAUAUCUGGAGGAACACCGGUGGCGAAGGCGGCAUCCUGGACCGGUAUUGACGCUGAGGCGCGAAAGCCAGGGGAGCAAACGGG
RNAcentral lists this ribosomal RNA (253 nucleotides) under uncultured bacterium. RNAcentral's name for it is "partial 16S ribosomal RNA". It matches the Rfam family "Bacterial small subunit ribosomal RNA", at positions 524 to 776 of the family's 1533-position model. The record is from RNAcentral.